Manis javanica (Malayan pangolin) is the source of this 2915-nucleotide non-coding RNA. Lineage: Eukaryota; Metazoa; Chordata; Mammalia; Pholidota; Manidae. The record is from RefSeq and is a predicted model, not a curated record.
ACGACAGCGCGCAGGACAUGCUGGCCUUCAUGAGCGAGCUGCACGGCGCCUGGCUGGCGCUGCCCUUCCAGGAUCCGCUGAGGCAGUUCGGCGUCGCUGCUGCAGUGUUGCCCUGACGUGGGGGCUGGUGCCUGGGAAUGAGAACAGUCCUGCUGCUGACCCUGUGGGUGGAGCACUGGUGAAACCUCGCUGGAUCCAGGUCUGAAAGGAGGACUUCAGUCUGGGUGCUGCUACGUGUGGCACUGAAUUCCAAGUCCCAGAUGAGAGCCCUCUGCUCCUGAGGCCCAGGCCAGGCUUCAAACUAGCACCAGGAGGGAGAUGGCAUUGACACAGCAUUCCAUUUGUCUGCGUCGUUUGAAAGUAGUUAGUUAGGUCUGUUCCACAACCAGGUGGGCACAUCUGGAGUUCCACCUGCUUCUCCCCGCAACACCUUCAGAAUCUUCUGUCCACCCCACCAGGGCCCACACAGCCAGCCCUGUUCCUCACCUUCUCUCACUCAGUUCCUCAUCCUAUAUUGUGCUUCAGAGCCUCUGGUCAGUUAGCAUAGCGUCCUUGUGGAAAGAACUGAUAAACGAAACCCCCAAAGCACAGAUGAUAGAAUGUCUAUGCCUCUGGCUUACAUAAAAAAUGAGUAUUUCUGUGAUAGAACCAAUGGGCAAGUGACAAAGAGAGAAGACAUUUGCAAUGGCAGAAACCAGCCAGGGGCUGCCCCCAAGGUGUCCACUGACCUCCCACAGGGCAACAGGAAAGGGUGGCAGGGCGAGGUGGGGCAUGUGCAGAGGCACCAAGGCGCUGGGACGCUCACCCUCAAGGUCACGGGGACAUGGACCACAGCCUGCGCUUGCAGAGGACACUUUGCUUAUAAAUAAUCUUAAUGCCCACAGAUGCAGGGCUGCCCCCAGGGCCUCAGCUGGCCAGCUCGGGGCACCUUCACCGCCCUGUCCUAGCUGCUCUGAGGCUCCACCUCUUGCUCCAUGGUAUCUGUUGCUGAUUUCUUCAUAUUCACACUGAGAGCCUCUCAUGGCUUCCCACUGUUCAGGUCAAAAACCUAGGACACAUCCCCAAUUCCUGCCUUUCCCGGGCGCCCCAUACCUGGCCCAUCAGGGGCUCCUGUCCCCAAAUGCACACCCUCCCUUCUCCUCCACAGCCCCUGCCCCAGAACCCCUGGCUGCUCACUUGGACAAUUUCCUAUGUCCCCUGGCCACCCCCAACCCCACUCCUGACCUCCUGGAAUGUGUGGCCCACACAGCUACUAGAAUGGUCCUGAGGAUACUGGAAUCUACAUUAUUUCCCUGCUUCUCAUCGCCUCAGACCAAAGCCUGAGGCCAGGGCUAUUCUCUGUUUCUCUGCACCCCUGCUCCUCCCAUCAUGCCACCCUCUCCUUUCCUGCCCCCUGGCCCAUUCCCCACCCCCUCUGCAGUACCCCUGCUCUCCAAUCACCCAUGCCUCUGCCCACAGGGCUACCCAGAGGCUUCUUGCCUGCCCAUCCCAUCCCAAUGGCACCCAGCUGCUGCCUCUGCUUCAUGCCCACCAAGCCCUUCUCUGACGUUAGCCACCUAUCACCUGUCUAUGAUUUAUCAUCUAUCACCAAUCAUCUAUACCAUCGUCUAUCUAUCAUGAAUAUAUCGUCUUUUUCCCCAGUGAGAAUAUAACCACCCUGAGAACAGACAUUCCUAUGUCUGGCCCAUAGGACGGUGUGCAGCACACACUCCACAGCUAUUGGCUUAUUGAAUUAUUUUUAAUGUCUGCUGAGCAUUUUGUGUGCGUGUACACUGUAAGCUAUUCUGUCCGGUCCUACGCCAAAGGACUUCAUGCCAGUCUUUGGCUAUUACUGCAAAGAGCAAUUGUGUACAUGUGCCCAACAGCACUUCUGCUGGGAUAUAAUGAAUUUGUACAUGAAUUGGUAGAGUAAAAAAGGGACCCAUCUUUAUGUUUCCAAGUGACUUGCCAAUGUGCCACCACAAUUUAAGGAAUGACCCUCCUUUCUCCCAGUGUGCACACAAGGGCAUUGGCUGUGAGUUAAGUAACAAGCUUUCCUUGUCUGUGUGAAGGUCCAGGCCACACGUACCUGCUCUCUCCACUGUGUGCUCUGCUCCCUGGGGCAGGGCUGGGACCAGCACAAGGCCAGCUAGGUGCCUGCACCCUGAGUUCAAGCCCUUGCCCCUGGCCCUGAGUGCCGGCACCUCCCUGAAUGUGGCCUCCCCUGGUGUCCUUUCCUGUGUGGCCGCAGUAGCUCACUGCCAUGUGUGUGGCCAGGCCCCAGGCCGGAGAUCCAGAGAAUGUCUUAUGUUUAACUGUAGUUAAUUUACACUUGAAUUUAAGUGGCCGUGUGCAGGUAGUGGCUACCACGUGGGACUGCAGCCGAGAACGCACACUCAAGACGUGCCUCAGUCUCCCUACCCAGGUGUGGGCACCUGGCUCACCAGCCACAUUAACAUCUGGGUGCUGAUCUUCCUUUGUUUUCUUGUAUUUUUCAAAUUUUUCUUGGGUUUUCACACAUGUUCGGUGUUUUCACAACAGGCUGAGCAUCAGUUCAAAAGAGAAUCUGGUGAAUCCACAUUUAAUUCACGCCCCAUGGGAACCGGCUGGUGCCAGGACGGAGCUCCACCCACAAUGAGGCCAGCUUCGUUUCCUCUGGGUGGCUCUGUCCCUCUCUGGUCUGGCUCCUGGGUGAUCCUGCGUGCGGCGUGUUUCUGUGCUCGUAUGUAUGUGUGGUGCUGUUGCCUUUGUAAAGAAAACUUUCCAUUUCUUUCCUCCUCCAACUGGUUUUUAUUUAUAUACAGAAGAGGGUACUUGGCAUGUGAAUUUGCCACCAGCCCCAUUGUCACUUCAUUACACCCUCUCACUGUGUUUGGAUGUCCCCAACAAGUGGUGAAAAAAAUACCUACUUACUGUUAACUGUUUUAAAAAUUUAG